This 948-nucleotide unclassified non-coding RNA is filed under the name Hevea brasiliensis (rubber tree). The record is from RNAcentral. Lineage: Eukaryota; Viridiplantae; Streptophyta; Magnoliopsida; Malpighiales; Euphorbiaceae.
GCUCAAGCAUUUAAACUUGACACGCUUCUGAAACUAUCAGAUGUAAAAGGAAUAGACGGCAAAACUACGUUGUUGCAUUUUGUUGUUCAAGAGAUAAUCCGUUCAGAAGGUAUACGAGCUGCCCGUGCCAGAGAUCGAGGGAGCGUGUCUAGCAUCAAGUCUGAUGAUCUACCCGAGGAUCAGUCUCAAGACUCAGAGGAGUAUUAUCGGAGUACUGGUCUACAGGUUGUUUCAGGUUUGAGUAGUGAACUUGAAAACGUGAAAAAAGCUGCAAUUUUGGAUGCAGACAGCUUAACAGGCACAGUAUCCAAGCUUGGUCGUGCUCUAAAAGAAUCACGGGAUUUCCUAAAUUCAGAAAUGAAGAACGUAGAUGACGAAAAUAGGUUUCACCAGACCCUGAAGAGUUUUGUGCAGAAUGCUGAGCUUGACAUCACGUGGUUAUUCGAGGAAGAAAAAAGAAUAAUGGCCUUAGUUAAAAGCACAGGAGAUUAUUUCCAUGGAAAUGCAGGGAAAAAUGAAGGUUUACGAUUAUUUGUUAUCGUUCGUGAUUUUCUGAUAAUAUUAGAUAAGGUAUGCAUAGAGGUGAAAAAUGCUCAGAGAAAGCUAAACGGCACACCAAAGAAGGAGAAUGUAGCAAGUAAAACUUCAGAGUCCAGCAAUCCACCGUCCCUCGAUCUCCGCCAGAAGCUCUUUCCGGCUAUCACAGAUAGGAGAAUUGACGAUUCUAGUUCGGACGAUGAUGCUUCUUAAGAUAAGGGAUCUGAGUCAUUUUCGAGCUCAAGUAUGGUAAAUAGGGAAACGAGAUUCAGUUUUUGAACGUUGUGCUAACCGAGGGAUCUCAAUUCGAGGCAGCAGAGGUGGUUGGAGUUGCUCAAAGACGACGAUAUGGCUAGUACAUGGCUCUAUUUCAAUUAUUUUCUUCACUGAAUUUCCAUUUGUACUUUAGAA